AACAAUUACCCUGAUGAGUGAGAGGGAAGCUGCGGAUGCAUUCAGACACCUAUGGCACUGCAGACUCCACGCACUCAGCAUUUUGUGUUUAGUGUCUUGUGUUUUUGAGAGCAGACAAAUACUAUGAUGUCCUCGAUACCUGGAAACACCACCACCACCUCCUUCCUGUUCACCACCACAGCCCCUCUUGUAACCAAAAAUUUGCAAAAGGGGAGUUUGGAGUAUGCUGUGCAGAAGACAACUGAAAUUGAGUUGAGUUUUCAAACAUUCACCACCUUUAUCUCAUAUAAGCAUGUGAGGAAUGAACAGCAAUUGUUUAUCAUUUGGAAGGAAAAGCUACUAUCCAACCUCUUGUCUACUUAGGAGCAUUUGUUAAAGCGUCUCA
Molecule: long non-coding RNA, 385 nt
Organism: Mustela lutreola (European mink)
Lineage: Eukaryota; Metazoa; Chordata; Mammalia; Carnivora; Mustelidae
Exons: 4
Source: RefSeq, a predicted model, not a curated record